RNAcentral lists this long non-coding RNA (322 nucleotides) under Physcomitrium patens. RNAcentral's name for it is "long non-coding RNA (PPAT_LNC012186)". Lineage: Eukaryota; Viridiplantae; Streptophyta; Bryopsida; Funariales; Funariaceae. The record is from RNAcentral.
CUUAUUUUUAGCAUAGCCUUUAUAAUCUUCUCAAUGUUAGCUCUAUAUCUUUUGAUCUUUACUCAAUUUGUAAAAUUCUAAUAGCCAACAAUUGUUUUCUUGUCAACCCAUCUUUCUAAGGUAGCAUACUCUAAGUUGAUACAUGUUCUUCAAUCGACAUAAUAGGUUUUUGACUUGUCAUAAGUUUUAUUAGCAUAUAUCCUUUCAUUAAAGUAUUUGUUGUUUAAUUAGCUUAUAAUGCAUAAAGUAAAAGUUAAGACCAUUCCUUCACUCUUCUAUUGCAAGCUUUAACUAAGGCUUUUAUAAUUGAUAGAUAUCUAUG